AUGCACGCUGACAGAAUGCUUAACACAUGCAAGUCAACUUGAAUUUGGGUUUUUAACUUAGGUUUGGGUGGCGGACGGGUGAGUAACGCGUAAAGAACUUGCCUCACAGCUAGGGACAACAUUUGGAAACGAAUGCUAAUACCUAAUAUUAUGAUAAUAGGGCAUCCUAUAAUUAUGAAAGCUAUAAGCGCUGUGAGAGAGCUUUGCGUCCCAUUAGCUAGUUGGAGAGGUAACGGCUCACCAAGGCGAUGAUGGGUAGCCGGCCUGAGAGGGUGAUCGGCCACAAGGGGACUGAGACACGGCCCUUACACCUACGGGAGGCAGCAGUGGGGAAUAUUGGACAAUGGACCAAGAGUCUGAUCCAGCAAUUCUGUGUGCACGAUGAAGUUUUUCGGAAUGUAAAGUGCUUUCAGUUGGGAAGAAAGAAAUGACGGUACCAACAGAAGAAGAGACGGCUAAAUACGUG
This 466-nucleotide ribosomal RNA is filed under the name uncultured bacterium. RNAcentral describes it as "partial 16S ribosomal RNA". It matches the Rfam family "Bacterial small subunit ribosomal RNA", at positions 29 to 507 of the family's 1533-position model. The record is from RNAcentral.